Molecule: ribosomal RNA, 253 nt
Filed under: uncultured bacterium
Lineage: Bacteria
Description: partial 16S ribosomal RNA
Rfam family: Bacterial small subunit ribosomal RNA
Source: RNAcentral
UACAGAGGGUGCAAGCGUUAAUCGGAAUUACUGGGCGUAAAGCGCGCGUAGGUGGUUCAUUAAGUUGGAUGUGAAAUCCCCGGGCUCAACCUGGGAACUGCAUCCAAAACUGGCGAGCUAGAGUAUGGUAGAGGGUGGUGGAAUUUCCUGUGUAGUGGUGAAAUGCGUAGAUAUAGGAAGGAACACCAGUGGCGAAGGCGACCACCUGGACUGAUACUGACACUGAGGUGCGAAAGCGUGGGGAGCAAACAGG